RNAcentral lists this ribosomal RNA (443 nucleotides) under uncultured bacterium. RNAcentral describes it as "partial 16S ribosomal RNA". It matches the Rfam family "Bacterial small subunit ribosomal RNA", at positions 338 to 795 of the family's 1533-position model. The record is from RNAcentral.
CCUACGGGAGGCAGCAGUGGGGAAUAUUGGGCAAUGGGCGCAAGCCUGACCCAGCAACGCCGCGUGAAGGAAGAAGGCUUUCGGGGUGGAAACUUCUUUUGUCAGGGGCGAAACAAGUGACGGUACCUGACGAAUAAGCCACGGCUAACUACGUGCCAGCAGCCGCGGUAAUACGUAGGUGGCAAGCGUUAUCCGGAUUUAUUGGGUGUAAAGGGCGUGUAGGCGGGAAUGCAAGUCAGAUGUGAAAACUAUGGGCUCAACCCAUGGCCUGCAUUUGAAACUGGAGUUCUUGAGUGCUGGAGAGGCAAGCGGAAUUCCGUGUGUAGCGGUGAAAUGCGUAGAUAUACGGAGGAACACCAGUGGCGAAGGCGGAUUGCUGGACAGUAACUGACGCUGAGGCGCGAAAGCGUGGGGAGCAAACAGGAUUAGAUACCCCAGUAGUC